CAUUUCGCUCUCUCUUUCCCCGGAUGGACGACAGACAAUAAACCCGGGAUUACUCCAGCAAGUUUGAGCCUCCUGUGUCUAGAUACUUUGAGUCCGUGUUGUAUCCACUCCAGGACCCCCUCCGCCGUCUGUGCCCUGAGACGAGCAGGCUCUCACCACGGAGGGUGGGACAGAGGGGUCCCAUCGAGGAGGAGGAUUACAACAGUCCGCGUUCACAACUGGACCCCUACCCUCAGCUGGACCGGACCUGGAGUCACAGCGAGCCAACUGUGACAAGUGGCACCUGAACAGGGACUCCCGUACUGGAGACAUCUAGGGAUCAGUUCGGCUGGGUCCUGGCCAAACCAGCAGGAUCUCUUCUCUCCACUGUGGAUUAUUUUGUCAGGCCUGACACUUCAGCAACAGACAGCCAUUGGAGAACAACCAGCUGUCUCGGAGGAUACCUGCUAGGAACACAGUUCCAUCUUUACUACCCUGGAAGAAAAGAAGCCAAAUUUAGACUGGUUUCCACCCAAACCAGUGGGACAUGGGGGAGCACUGAGGUGGGCACAGAGAACAAAGGCACCCUGGGGGGAGAAGCAAGAGCAAGAAAAGUUCCAAGGCCACGCUGAUAAGCUGCAAUGAUCGCCGCUCUUAGCACCUGGCCGUGAGAGACUUUUCGUGUAACAUCGCCUGCUUUUGCAAAAAUCGUGCCCUUUUUUCUUCUAUCGGCGAACAACAAGAGAGAUUGAGAGAAAAAA
Molecule: long non-coding RNA, 740 nt
Organism: Parus major (Great Tit)
Lineage: Eukaryota; Metazoa; Chordata; Aves; Passeriformes; Paridae
Exons: 3
Source: RefSeq, a predicted model, not a curated record